RNAcentral lists this ribosomal RNA (411 nucleotides) under Listeria monocytogenes. RNAcentral's name for it is "bacterial SSU rRNA". It matches the Rfam family "Bacterial small subunit ribosomal RNA", at positions 202 to 600 of the family's 1533-position model. The record is from RNAcentral. Lineage: Bacteria; Bacillati; Bacillota; Bacilli; Caryophanales; Listeriaceae.
GAAAGAUGGUUUCGGCUAUCGCUUACAGAUGGGCCCGCGGUGCAUUAGCUAGUUGGUAGGGUAAUGGCCUACCAAGGCAACGAUGCAUAGCCGACCUGAGAGGGUGAUCGGCCACACUGGGACUGAGACACGGCCCAGACUCCUACGGGAGGCAGCAGUAGGGAAUCUUCCGCAAUGGACGAAAGUCUGACGGAGCAACGCCGCGUGUAUGAAGAAGGUUUUCGGAUCGUAAAGUACUGUUGUUAGAGAAGAACAAGGAUAAGAGUAACUGCUUGUCCCUUGACGGUAUCUAACCAGAAAGCCACGGCUAACUACGUGCCAGCAGCCGCGGUAAUACGUAGGUGGCAAGCGUUGUCCGGAUUUAUUGGGCGUAAAGCGCGCGCAGGCGGUCUUUUAAGUCUGAUGUGAAAG